CACUGCUGUUUUUCUCAUCCUUCUGCUUCAUUUCUUUGAUGGCAACAUUUAAAAUAUAUGUCCCAAGUAGGAAGUUUAUCAUAGGAAGUCAUGUCACUGCCCCGGUUGACCUGAAACUUACAGACCAGACCUACAAUCAAGAGCCAGCCUGGCCUCACCAGUGCUGUGUCCUGCAGGUGGGGAGACUGAGUUCUGUCCAGGCUGCUCAUGAGAGCUGCAGUAAAAUAAAAUGGCUGCACACGACUGUGGAUGCCUGGAGGGGGUCUGGGAUCCUCACAUCCCCAAAAUGA
This 290-nucleotide long non-coding RNA is filed under the name Meriones unguiculatus (Mongolian gerbil). Its description in RNAcentral is "lncRNA (ENSMUGG00000024303.1)". The record is from RNAcentral. Lineage: Eukaryota; Metazoa; Chordata; Mammalia; Rodentia; Muridae.